This 468-nucleotide ribosomal RNA is filed under the name uncultured bacterium. RNAcentral describes it as "partial 16S ribosomal RNA". It matches the Rfam family "Bacterial small subunit ribosomal RNA", at positions 28 to 507 of the family's 1533-position model. The record is from RNAcentral.
GACGAACGCUGGCGGCGUGCUUAACACAUGCAAGUCGAACGGAAAGGCCCUGCUUUUGUGGGGUGCUCGAGUGGCGAACGGGUGAGUAACACGUGAGUAACCUGCCCUUGACUUUGGGAUAACUUCAGGAAACUGGGGCUAAUACCGGAUAGGAGCUCCUGCUGCAUGGUGGGGGUUGGAAAGUUUCGGCGGUUGGGGAUGGACUCGCGGCUUAUCAGCUGGUUGGUGGGGUAGUGGCUUACCAAGGCUUUGACGGGUAGCCGGCCUGAGAGGGUGACCGGCCACAUUGGGACUGAGAUACGGCGCAGACGCCUACGGGAGGCAGCAGGGGGGAAUAUUGCACAAUGGGCGGAAGCCUGAUGCAGCAACGCCGCGUGCGGGAUGACGGCCUUCGGGUUGUAAACCGCUUUCGCCUGUGACGAAGCGUGAGUGACGGUAAUGGGUAAAGAAGCACCGGCUAACUACGUG